UUUCGGUGAGCUGAAGCCCGGAAAUGCGAGCCAGCUCCUCUAAGGUAAGCGUCAAUAGGAGAUGGUAGGGGCUUUUGGUAAGCCGGGGCCCCGAAAUUCGAGCCAGCUCUUCUAAGGUAAGCUUGGCCUCACCAGUUGGAAGAAAAAAUGUAUUGGUAAGCGAAUUGAACCGCUCAAGCGAUGCCUUGAGCAAAUUAAAAUUGACAUGGGACUCUCGCCAUGAGAGAAACCCCCAUCAUAGACAAAAGUGCCCAAUUCCACCCAAACCUGAACGGAAUCAUACUAUUCUUGAAACCAGCCUGGGAUUAGAGGAUAAUCUCGAAGCCGUUGCGGCCU
RNAcentral lists this long non-coding RNA (336 nucleotides) under Amborella trichopoda. RNAcentral's name for it is "long non-coding RNA (ATRI_LNC000859)". Lineage: Eukaryota; Viridiplantae; Streptophyta; Magnoliopsida; Amborellales; Amborellaceae. The record is from RNAcentral.